AGAGUUUGAUCCUGGCUCAGAACGAACGUUGGCGGCGUGGAUUAGGCAUGCAAGUCGUACGAGAAAGUCACCUUCGGGUGGCGAGUAAAGUGGCGAACGGGUGAGUAACGCGUGGGAAACCUGCCCUCUGAGAUGGGGAUAACACUCCUAACGGGGUGCUAAUACCGAAUGAGACCACGAAGCUGCAUGGCUUUGAGGUUAAAGGUGGCCUCUACUUGUAAGCUACCGCUUGAGGAUGGUCCCGCGUCCCAUUAGCUAGUUGGUGGGGUAAUGGCCUACCAAGGCUCCGAUGGGUAGCUGGUCUGAGAGGAUGGUCAGCCACACUGGGACUGAGAUACGGCCCAGACUCCUACGGGAGGCAGCAGUCGAGAGGCUUCGGCAAUGGGGGAAACCCUGACCGAGCGACGCCGCGUGGGCGAUGAAGGCCGUAAGGUUGUAAAGCCCUGUCAGGAGGGAAGAACGCAAACGUGCGAACAGUGCGUUUGCUUGACGGUACCUCCAGAGGAAGCUCCGGCUAACUCCGUGCCAGCAGCCGCGGUAAUACGGGGGGAGCAAACGUUGUUCGGAAUCACUGGGCGUAAAGGGCGCGCAGGCGGCUCGGUUAGUGAAAUGUGAAAUGCCCUGGCUUAACCAGGGAACUGCAUUUCAUACUGCCGAGCUUGAGUAUAGGAGAGGAUGGGGGAAUUCCCGGUGUAUCGGUGGAAUGCAUUGAUAUCGGGAGGAACACCAGUGGCGAAGGCGCCCAUCUGGCCUAAUACUGACGCUCAGGCGCGAAAGCUAGGGGAGCAAACAGGAUUAGAUACCCUGGUAGUCCUAGCCGUAAACGGUGAGCACUAGGUGUAGGAAGUAUCGACCCUUCCUGUGCCGCAGCUAACGCAUUAAGUGCUCCGCCUGGGGAGUACGACCGCAAGGUUGAAACUCAAAGGAAUUGACGGGGGCCCGCACAAGCGGUGGAGCAUGUGGUUUAAUUCGAUGCAACGCGAAGAACCUUACCCAGACUUGACAUGUGCCGGACAGGUGUGGAAACACACCCUCCCUUCGGGGCCGGUGCACAGGUGCUGCAUGGCUGUCGUCAGCUCGUGUCGUGAGAUGUUGGGUUAAGUCCCGCAACGAGCGCAACCCUUGUCCUUAGUUGCCAGCAAGUAAAGUUGGGCACUCUAAGGAGACUGCCGUCGCUAAGGCGGAGGAAGGUGGGGAUGACGUCAAGUCCUCAUGGUCCUUACGUCUGGGGCUACACACGUGCUACAAUGGCCGGUACAAAGGGUCGCAAUACCGCGAGGUGGAGCCAAUCCCAAAAAACCGGUCUCAGUUCGGAUUGCAGUCUGCAACUCGACUGCAUGAAGGUGGAAUCGCUAGUAAUCGCUGAUCAGCAGGCAGCGGUGAAUAUGUUCCCGGGCCUCGUACACACCGCCCGUCAAGCCACGUAAGUCUGCAGUACCCAAAGUCGCUAUCCCAACCGUAAGGAAGGAAGCGCCUAAGGUAAGGCCGGUGAUUGGGGCUAAGUCGUAACAAGGUA
Molecule: ribosomal RNA, 1516 nt
Filed under: metagenome
Description: bacterial SSU rRNA
Rfam family: Bacterial small subunit ribosomal RNA
Source: RNAcentral